RNAcentral lists this ribosomal RNA (477 nucleotides) under uncultured organism. RNAcentral describes it as "partial 16S ribosomal RNA". It matches the Rfam family "Bacterial small subunit ribosomal RNA", at positions 331 to 799 of the family's 1533-position model. The record is from RNAcentral.
GUACACUCCUACGGGAGGCAGCAGUGGGGAAUUUUGGACAAUGGGCGCAAGCCUGAUCCAGCCAUGCCGCGUGCGGGAAGAAGGCCUUCGGGUUGUAAACCGCUUUUGUCAGGGAAGAAAAGGUUCUGGCUAAUACCUGGGACUCAUGACGGUACCUGAAGAAUAAGCACCGGCUAACUACGUGCCAGCAGCCGCGGUAAUACGUAGGGUGCAAGCGUUAAUCGGAAUUACUGGGCGUAAAGCGUGCGCAGGCGGUUAUGCAAGACAGAGGUGAAAUCCCCGGGCUCAACCUGGGAACUGCCUUUGUGACUGCAUGGCUAGAGUACGGUAGAGGGGGAUGGAAUUCCGCGUGUAGCAGUGAAAUGCGUAGAUAUGCGGAGGAACACCGAUGGCGAAGGCAAUCCCCUGGACCUGUACUGACGCUCAUGCACGAAAGCGUGGGGAGCAAACAGGAUUAGAAACCCCGGUAGUCCCAUG